UUAUACAGAGUCGUCUGUCUUUGUCAUGGGACAGCCAUGUAAGUCACUAGGACAGCUGCCAAUCUCAAAGACUCCCAGGACACCACUGGGAACGUUGGUUACUCUGCCAAAGCUUUGACUGGAAUGUCAUGUUUGAGAGGGACAUGAGUAGACUCAGAUGCUGAAAGAUGGAACUUUAUUCCAACAAAGACCAUGUGUUCAUGAUGAAUAAGUCACUCACAUUUUCCAGUGCCAAUAAUCAGGUCUUCUCAAUUUUAUAUUUUUGAUUAAUGUGAUUUUCUAGAAAAGAAGCAUUAAAUGUUUGAAACAAUGUGAUUAAAACUGAGAGUAGUCUCUCUUGCUCACGAGCAUGAGAUAUGGUGUGGAAUCUUAAACCAGUGCUGUUUAUUCUCUACUGGCCUCUUUCACUCACCUCCUUGCCUAUCUCAGUACAAGUGCACAGUCCCAGGGCAAGUGGAUAGGGGAGAGCAAGAACUUUUAAACUACACUCAAAACAAAGGUAUCUCCCCAACAAGGAGGAAACACUUGGCUCUAGGAAGUGAGCUUGGAGAAGGAAAUGGAAUGCCUGUGGAAGUUAAUGGUCCAGGAAUGGGAAUACCACCAGGAGAAAGGAAAAGGUCUGCCCAUUUUUUCCCAGCAGCUAUUGGCAGAAAUUUGGGCUCUGUGACUUGAAGGCAAGGAUCAGUCCCGUCCACAGACCUACUG
Long non-coding RNA from Prionailurus viverrinus (fishing cat), 705 nucleotides. RefSeq lists it as uncharacterized. The record is from RefSeq and is a predicted model, not a curated record. NCBI's taxonomy places the organism in Eukaryota, Metazoa, Chordata, Mammalia, Carnivora, Felidae. The transcript is spliced from 3 exons.